CAAAUACUCCCUCCGUCCCAAAAUAAGUGACUCAAAAAUGACUCAACUUUGCACUUACUUUAGUGCAAAGUUGAGUCAUUUUUGAGUCACUUAUUUUGGGACGGAGGGAGUAGAUC
Molecule: microRNA precursor, 116 nt
Filed under: Hordeum vulgare
Lineage: Eukaryota; Viridiplantae; Streptophyta; Magnoliopsida; Poales; Poaceae
Description: microRNA MIR1122
Rfam family: MIR1120/MIR1122 microRNA precursor family
Source: RNAcentral